UUUACUUCCGUUCACGACAACCGACAGCCGGUUCAUAAACACAUGACAAAUGCGGUAUACAAAUAGGCCUAAUUUGUGAUAUCCAUGAGACUGGCGAGAAAAGAAAAUCAAGAUAUUCCAGAUAUUGGGAAAGAGUUGACUGUGUUCCCUAUUGAGUAAUAAACUGGACAAGUACACUUUGACAAGAUAAUCAUGUUUGACUGGAGAGAAUGGUUGGAAUACAUUUUAAAAUGGGCAGCUACAAGUCCCUGGGAAUUUGUGUUCACGAUUCUUCUUUGUUUGUCACCGUUUUUCUUCAUAAGUGCAAUUCUUGCAUGGAAACUAGCACAGGAGAUUGAGGCAAAAGAAAAGGAGAAGAAAAAGAAAGCAAAACGAGAGGCAGCCAUAAAGAAAAAACAGCAAAAAGCAGACUGAUUGUAUUACUAUGCAGCUCAUUGCAUCUAAUAGUGAACUUCAUAUAGUUAUCUAACUUAUUUUCAGUUGAAUUUUGUUUGCUUUAUUUUAUUGUUUUUCAUUCCUUAGUUGGAUGAAAUACAGAAAUUCAGAGUGUUUGAAUCAAACAUUUUUAGCAUGCUUGGAAUGCAUGGUGCAUGGAUAAAUUUGAAUGACUUUGUGAUGAUGGUGAACAUUUUAUGAUUUGACAGUUGAUAAGUGUAUCAAAUAAUCAAUAUAUUAACCACUUUUGUAUGUAAAAGAUAUAAACCAUUAUUCAUGCAUACAUGUGUCAUUGAAACAUUAUUGUCAACAUAAAAUUGUCCUCAGUUAAUUAUAUAUAUAAUGGUGUCAAGAGUUAGUCUACUAUGUAUACGCACUAUUAUUAUGAGAGUUGGUACAUUGUAUGUGUUCUGUUGUCAUAUUAUUAGUCCCCAUUUCAGUACUUUUAAAGUAAUGCCAAACAUGUAGGAAACAGAAUUUUUUCUGGUGGCUGUUAUAAUGGAUUCAUCAAGUGUACAUGCAUGGUAGGAUCUCACGGAAUAAACAGAAUGGUAGUCUCUAAAGUAGAUUAUAUUACAGACGUGUGCUUCUGAUUAGUAUUUGUAGAAAAUAAAUAUUGGCCUCUUCUCCUACUUUAUUUGUAAGAGGAGUGAAAAAAUGUAUGGUCAGACCAGGGUUCAAACCCGGGACCUCUGAACACUGGCCGGAUGUUCUACCAGUUGAUGAGCUACCUGGUCGCAGAUGAUCGACCCUGUCCAGCCAGUUCCGAUACAUAUUAACAAAGGAUUUUAAACCAAGGAACAUUACUGAAGUUUGUGUGCAUUUGAUAUUUUAGUCGGGUUGAACUUAAAUUCAAAGUGAAUCAAAGCUCAUCCCCCACUUCCCACUUUUCGAGUGUUACACCUCGUUGAUAUUAGCAGUAGGGGUUAAUAUUUUUAUUUUUACUAACCAGAAGCAGGUGCCUGUGAUUAUAUUAAUAUUAUACUGGUACAAAAGUGACUGAGGGGCUUUCAUAGAUCACUCAGUUUAUGUCUACUUUCAAAAUAGUCAGCAUAUAAUUUUAAGACAAUCAUACACUACUGAUCUACAUGUCAACUGGUUCUUUGGAAUGUAACCAUCAUCAAAAAUUUAAAAUCUUAGCCUUGACUGUUCACAACAUAUUUGGUUUCAAUCCACAUGCUUCUUAAACUGUCAAAACAAAAUAAUUAUUUUCCAGUAAGAACAUUUAGAAUUUGAUCCUUUCGGACCCUUAUCCUUUGAUUUGAUCAUGCACUUGUUUGAUUCAGUUGAACUGGCCUCUUUAACAUUCAAAACUAAGAUAUACAAAUGUAGUUAUGUAUUUAAAUUCUUUAGGUUUUACCUUAUACAUUUCAAGACUCAAGUUCUUGAUAGCUGGAUUUUUCAUUUUAGACGGAAAUGCAUUAUUGGAUUUUAGGGGGGAAUCGAAAAAGUCUUUCUAAUAUUUCCAGUUAUGUCCCCUUCACAGGUAUGGUUGUUGUCAUGAACACUUUUUCAUUUUGAAUGAAAAUGGAUUAAAUAUGAUAAAUAUGAUAAGAAACAUGAUGUUGACUUCCUAAACUGAAGAUGAAUCCAUGAUCAAACCUAGUUUUGCCCACAACACUCAUAACUUCAUAUGAUUUAUGAAUAAAGGCACAAAUUGUUCAUUCUCUAUUUUUACCAACCAAAAAUAUAAGCUUAUACUACAAUUAUUGGCCCAAGUGAAUUACUUGUGACUUGUAUAAAUGUAAGAUUUGUGAAUGACUGCUGCAUUACCUUUACAAGAACCUUGGAAUGCCUGUGUCUGAUGUUUAUGUACAUUGUGAUUUUAUUAAAAUCUGGGACUA
Molecule: long non-coding RNA, 2279 nt
Organism: Pecten maximus
Lineage: Eukaryota; Metazoa; Mollusca; Bivalvia; Pectinida; Pectinidae
Exons: 2
Source: RefSeq, a predicted model, not a curated record